CUUGGUCAUUUAGAGGAAGUAAAAGUCGUAACAAGGUCUCCGUAGGUGAACCUGCGGAGGGAUCAUUACAGAGUUCAUGCCCUCCGGGUAGAUCUCCCACCCACUGCUAUCACUACUCUCGUUGCUUUGGCGGGCCGCUGGGCCCUGCCCGGCCGCCGGCCCCGGCUGGCGCGUGCCCGCCAGAGACCUCACAGACUCUGAAUGUUAGUGUCGUCCGAGUAACUAUACAAUCGUUAAAACUUUCAACAACGGAUCUCUUGGUUCUGGCAUCGAUGAAGAACGCAGCGAAAUGCGAUAAGUAAUGCGAAUUGCAGAAUUCAGUGAGUCAUCGAAUCUUUGAACGCACAUUGCGCCCUGUGGUAUUCCGCAGGGCAUGCCUGUUCGAGCGUCAUUUCAACCCUCAAGCCUCGCUUGGUGUUGGGCCCUGCCCGCCGCGGCCGGCCCUAAAGAUAGUGGCGGCGCCGCCUGGCCCUCAGCGUAGUACAGCUCUCGCUCCAGGGUCCGGCGGCAGCCUGCCAGAACCCCCCAACUCUGUGGUUGACCUCGGAUCAGGUAGGGAUACCCGCUGAACUUAAGCAUAUCAAUAAGCGGAGGA
RNAcentral lists this ribosomal RNA (595 nucleotides) under uncultured fungus. RNAcentral describes it as "eukaryotic LSU rRNA". The stretch from base 238 to 391 matches the Rfam family "5.8S ribosomal RNA". Lineage: Eukaryota; Fungi. The record is from RNAcentral.